Non-coding RNA from Kitasatospora sp. Root187, 55 nucleotides. Lineage: Bacteria; Bacillati; Actinomycetota; Actinomycetes; Kitasatosporales; Streptomycetaceae. The record is from Rfam.
GUAGCGGCAACAGUGCCGCUACGCCCGUCCCGGUACCUGAUACGGCCGGGUUCGG